RNAcentral lists this ribosomal RNA (429 nucleotides) under Fusobacteriota bacterium. RNAcentral's name for it is "Fusobacteria bacterium partial 16S ribosomal RNA". It matches the Rfam family "Bacterial small subunit ribosomal RNA", at positions 355 to 776 of the family's 1533-position model. The record is from RNAcentral. Lineage: Bacteria; Fusobacteriati; Fusobacteriota.
UGGGGAAUAUUGCGCAAUGGGCGAAAGCCUGACGCAGCAACGCCGCGUGAGGGAUGAAGGUUUUCGGAUCGUAAACCUCUGUCAGAAGGGAAGAAACCGCACUGUGCUAAUCAGUAGUGCCUUGACGGUACCUUCAAAGGAAGCACCGGCUAACUCCGUGCCAGCAGCCGCGGUAAUACGGAGGGUGCAAGCGUUAAUCGGAAUUACUGGGCGUAAAGCGCACGUAGGCUGCUUUGUAAGUCAGGGGUGAAAUCCAACGGCUCAACCGUGGAACUGCCUUUGAUAAUGCUUUGCUUUAAGCCGGGAGAGGGUGGCGGAAUUCCAGGUGGAGGAGUGGAAUCCCUAGGAAUCUGGAGGAACAUCAGUGGCGGAGGCCGCCACCUGGACCGGUAUUGACGCUGAAGUGCGAAAGCGUGGGGAGCAAACAGG